UCUAAUAUGGCAGAAUAGUGCUAUGAAUUUAAGAUUCAUCAAUAAAGUUUAUCUUUUUUUAGAA
This 64-nucleotide transfer RNA is filed under the name Schizotus pectinicornis. Its description in RNAcentral is "tRNA-Leu". The record is from RNAcentral. Lineage: Eukaryota; Metazoa; Arthropoda; Insecta; Coleoptera; Pyrochroidae.